GAUCCUAGCUCAGGAUGAACGCUAGCUACAGGCUUAACACAUGCAAGUCGAGGGGCAGCAUCAUCAAAGCUUGCUUUGAUGGAUGGCGACCGGCGCACGGGUGAGUAACACGUAUCCAACCUGCCGACAACACUGGGAUAGCCUUUCGAAAGAAAGAUUAAUACCGGAUGGCAUAAUUAUUCCGCAUGGGAUAAUUAUUAAAGAAUUUCGGUUGUCGAUGGGGAUGCGCU
RNAcentral lists this ribosomal RNA (230 nucleotides) under uncultured bacterium. Its description in RNAcentral is "partial 16S ribosomal RNA". It matches the Rfam family "Bacterial small subunit ribosomal RNA", at positions 15 to 237 of the family's 1533-position model. The record is from RNAcentral.